AUGGCUGCAUUUAGUUUACUGCCAAAUUUUGGUAACUAUAUAAGAAAUCCUGCCAAAAUUUUUGGCAAGUUGCCAAAAUUUCGGCAACUAUGCCAAAAUUUUGGCAAUGCCAAAAAUUGGUAAGGUUUUUUUUGGCAUCAAAGUGAACAGGCCCU
Molecule: small nuclear RNA, 155 nt
Filed under: Oryza sativa Japonica Group (Japanese rice)
Lineage: Eukaryota; Viridiplantae; Streptophyta; Magnoliopsida; Poales; Poaceae
Description: U2 spliceosomal RNA
Source: RNAcentral